Molecule: non-coding RNA, 115 nt
Organism: Triticum aestivum (bread wheat)
Lineage: Eukaryota; Viridiplantae; Streptophyta; Magnoliopsida; Poales; Poaceae
Source: Rfam
AAACUACUCCCUCCGUUCGGAAUUACUUGUCGCGAAAAUGGAUGUAUCUAGAUGUAUCUUAAUUCUAGAUACAUCUAUUUUCGAGACAAGUAAUUCCGAACGGAGGGAGUAGGAA